This 1262-nucleotide long non-coding RNA is filed under the name Homo sapiens (human). RNAcentral's name for it is "HSALNT0140524". The record is from RNAcentral. Lineage: Eukaryota; Metazoa; Chordata; Mammalia; Primates; Hominidae.
CUUUGAUGAUCUUUCCAAGUUGUAGGCAGAGCUAACCUAAAGCAGCCAGCAGCUACUUCUUUCUCCUCAUAUGUCCCAGUGAUAGAAAUAUUUUAGAGUUCCUAGUAUUUUUAAUCAAAUGACUACACCUAAAUAUUGCUGUAUUUUGACAGUAAGCCAAAUUAAAAUUAGUACUCUGUGCCCAGCAUUUUUAUACAUUUCACAUAGGAUUCACUGCCCUUAAAGUGUUUCUAGUAUUACUAAAGAGGGGGUGCAACACACAGGAAAACAUUUGUGAAGUAUAAAAAAAAGUCAUUCGAUCUUAAACAACCCUGGGGUUAGGGGGGCUGACCCCUGUGUGUGCUGUUGAAAAUCCCUUUAUAACUUGUAUGACUUUUGACUCCCCCAAAACUGAACUACGAAUAGCCUACUGUUGACCAGAAGCCUUACCAGUAGCAUUAAGUCAGUUCACACAUAUUUUGUAUAUUAUAUACUGUAUUUUUACACUAAAGUAAGCUAUAAAAAGAAAAUGUUAUUAAGAAAAGAAUGAAGAAGAGAAAAUAUAUUUAUUAUUCAGUAAGUGGAAGUAGAUCCUCACAAAGCUCUUCACAUUGAGUAGGCUAAGAGGAGAGGAGGCAGAGGAGGGGUUGGCCUUGCUGUAUCAGGGGUGGUGGCAGAGAUGGGAGAAAAUCUGCAUAUAAGUAGACUUGCGUAGUUCAAACCCAUGUGUUCAAGGGUCAACUGCAUAUCAUUAACUGCUCAAUUAGAUAAAGUCAAACCUGAAAUGUACUGUGUAACCAUAAAGGUUAAAACUCAGUGCAAACAAAGGCUAUGAAUAAUCAGGUAUAAUUUGCACUGGGUCCUCAAGUGUUUAUAGGAUUGGGAUAAUUGAGCAGCAAAAUAAAAAAGUAUUCCAGACAAGGGGUUUAGGUUGAACAAAGUUUCAAAAACAGUGAUAAAUCUGGUAAAUAUGGGAGAGAGUUAAGAGACCUGCCAAUCCUAGGAAUUUAACCCAAAAAGUGAUGUAGUCAUGAAUAUCUCUGAUCUCUAGUUAUAUGUUCACAUAUCAGCUAGGCAGUUUUGGAGGGGGAAUUUCAGAGGUGCUGAUAAUCACCUUGGAAUAAAUUUAUUCUACAACUAUUGGUGAAAUAAAAAGUAUUGUUGUAAGUAAGAAUAAAUUUCUCUGUUAAUUUAUUGGUGAAAUUCUUCCUUCUUACAGAAGAAACUGGUAAGAUUAAGUAAACGAUAGUGCUUGUUUUUGGAUGUAAAGGUGUUGUAUGAAG